UACAGGGGGUGCAAACGUUGCUCGGAAUCAUUGGGCGUAAAGCGCACGUAGGCGGUCUGUUAUGUCGGAUGUGAAAGCCCUUGGCUCAACUGAGGAAGUGCAUCCGAAACUGGCAGGCUAGAGUACUAAAGAGGGUCGCGGAAUUCCCGGUGUAGAGGUGAAAUUCGUAGAUAUCAGGAGGAACACCGAUGGCGAAGGCAGGUCUCUGGGCCGCAACUGACGCUGAGGAGCGAAAGCAUGGGGAGCGAACAGG
RNAcentral lists this ribosomal RNA (253 nucleotides) under uncultured bacterium. Its description in RNAcentral is "partial 16S ribosomal RNA". It matches the Rfam family "Bacterial small subunit ribosomal RNA", at positions 524 to 776 of the family's 1533-position model. The record is from RNAcentral.